CCUCACUCUCAGUGGCCUUUAAUCUGGCUCAACUCAUUGAGAAGAAUCAUUUGCCAGCUUGAGUUCAUGGACAUUUUUUUAUUUCUGGAAGGUAAUUUCAUUUUAGGUUUCAGUGAUUGAUGCCCCCCCAGAUGGAAACGAUAGGCUUGAUGGCCCCAACGGCUGCCAAGAUAAUGGCAACAGACGAGUAACAGAAAACCCUCGACAGUGUAAACACGAGGCCGCUAUCCAAACCGCCGCGGCGUUUGGGCCGGAGCCGCCAUUGACUGGCGUAAUCUGCCGCGUUAAUCCGCAGCUCGGCCAUGUCUGACUGCUGUCUGGGUUCCGUGCACUGGGACAAAAGCGACGGACACCUUGCCCACUGACAAAGGGCCGGGCCCUAAUCGGAGUGGACAAGGCUUGCUGAUGGAGCCUUUUUGAGCAAUUGAACUUGGUCAAUGGAUCUUAGAGGACCUAAUGAAACAUAAGCAGCGGCCACUUUGACUCCAGCAGCGUCCGUCACAGAACUGAAGUUGUGCGCUGACCCGCGAUGACCUUCGUGAAAGCAUGUCGGCGUCGGACCUGAGAAGAUUGUGAUGGUGUUGACCCCGCGGGGCCACAUAGGUGUUGUACAUUUAGUCCCUUUCAUCGUCAUUGUGGAAUUCAGUUUCGGGCUUUGAAGGAAAUUUUUGGACUGAUGUGGCGCCAUUCGGUUGCUUUGUUUUCGUCCUGGAAAGCCACGACGGAGGAGAACAGGCCUCGGUGUGUCUCCGGAGCAGACCGUUUGGGAUAGAGGACAUGCUGUUCUUCUUUGAUAGUUUGAGGAAGGAGACUGGGUUCCUUUUAGAAAGCCCUGAGGAAUGUGUAUGGGAAAACCUGUGUGGGCCGCUGGAAUCUGCUCAAAGAGAAGGAGUGGAGCACGAGUGCAGGGAGCUCGCCGCGGGAGAGAGGAACUGGUCUUUGUGAUCAGAAAUUCUGUGGAAAAGUGCACAUUGUUUCCAGCCAGACAUAUUUUUUGUUCUCCUGGUCCCGUGAUUCACCUACAAGGUCUCAGGCUCACUGACCCCUUGUAGCUGGAUGCCCACGAUGCCCACGAGUCCACGACUCUGCAUUUCAUUUACCAAUUAGUUCUGCGAACAAACCGCUUUGCUGUCCCAAUGUUGGUUAUUGUGUAAGUGUAAACAGUCAGCAAGUUGGCAAAAAACUAAAUGUCGGAGCAGUAUAGACAUUACAUUGUUUUAUUUGUAAGGAU
Gasterosteus aculeatus aculeatus (three-spined stickleback) is the source of this 1231-nucleotide long non-coding RNA. The record is from Ensembl. NCBI's taxonomy places the organism in Eukaryota, Metazoa, Chordata, Actinopteri, Perciformes, Gasterosteidae.